UUUGCUUCUCGGCCUUUUGGUUAAGAUCAAGUAUAGUAUCUGUUCUUGUCAGUUAAAUGAAAUCAGUUUCCAUAUCUUCAGGGUAUCUGUAAACCAAAUAUCCCCAUGCUUCUGAAAUCUACAGAUUGCAUUUUAAAACCUCAU
RNAcentral lists this small nuclear RNA (144 nucleotides) under Cavia porcellus (domestic guinea pig). RNAcentral's name for it is "U2 spliceosomal RNA". It matches the Rfam family "U2 spliceosomal RNA". From Rfam's summary of the family: U2 is a small nuclear RNA (snRNA) component of the spliceosome (involved in pre-mRNA splicing). Complementary binding between U2 snRNA (in an area lying towards the 5' end but 3' to hairpin I) and the branchpoint sequence (BPS) of the intron results the bulging out of an unpaired adenosine, on the BPS, which initiates a nucleophilic attack at the intronic 5' splice site, thus starting the first of two transesterification reactions that mediate splicing. Lineage: Eukaryota; Metazoa; Chordata; Mammalia; Rodentia; Caviidae. The record is from Rfam by way of RNAcentral.